RNAcentral lists this small nuclear RNA (106 nucleotides) under Saimiri boliviensis boliviensis (Bolivian squirrel monkey). Lineage: Eukaryota; Metazoa; Chordata; Mammalia; Primates; Cebidae. The record is from RNAcentral.
GUGCUCCCUUAGCAGCACAUAUACUAAAAUUGGAACUAUAUGGAGAAGAUUAGCAUGGCUCCUCUGCAAAUAUUACAUGCACAUUUGCAAAGCAUUCUGUAUUUAA